CCUACGGGUGGCUGCAGUGGGGAAUAUUGCGCAAUGGGCGAAAGCCUGACGCAGCGACGCCGCGUGAGGGAUGAAGGUCUUCGGAUCGUAAACCACUGUCAGCAGGGAAGAACGGUCACUGUGCUAAUCAGCCGUGAAUUGACGGUACCUGCAAAGGAAGCACCGGCUAACUCCGUGCCAGCAGCCGCGGUAAUACGGAGGGUGCGAGCGUUAAUCGGAAUUACUGGGCGUAAAGCGCUCGUAGGCGGUAUGUCAAGUCAAGGGUGAAAUCCCCGGGCUCAACGUGGGAACUGCCUUUGAAACUGGCAAACUUGAGUGUGGGAGAGGAGAGUGGAAUUCCAGGUGUAGGAGUGAAAUCCGUAGAGAUCUGGAGGAACAUCAGUGGCGAAGGCGACUAUCUGGCACAUAACUGACGCUGAGGAGCGAAAGCGUGGGUAGCAAACAGGAUUAGAUACCCUGGUAGUC
RNAcentral lists this ribosomal RNA (465 nucleotides) under uncultured bacterium. RNAcentral describes it as "partial 16S ribosomal RNA". It matches the Rfam family "Bacterial small subunit ribosomal RNA", at positions 338 to 795 of the family's 1533-position model. The record is from RNAcentral.